UGAGUAACGCGUGAGCAACCUGCCUUUAUCAGGGGGAUAACGCAUCGAAAGAUGUGCUAAUACCGCGUAAGACCACAGCCUCACAUGGGGCAGGGGUCAAAGGAGCAAUCCGGAUAAAGAUGGGCUCGCGUCCGAUUAGCUAGUUGGUGAGAUAACAGCCCACCAAGGCGACGAUCGGUAGCCGACCUGAGAGGGUGAUCGGCCACAUUGGAACUGAGAGACGGUCCAGACUCCUACGGGAGGCAGCAGUGGGGAAUAUUGGGCAAUGGGCGAAAGCCUGACCCAGCAACGCCGCGUGAGGGAAGAAGGGUUUCGGCUCGUAAACCUCUGUCCUAUGGGACGAAGGAAGUGACGGUACCAUAGGAGGAAGCCCCGGCUAACUACGUGCCAGCAGCCGCGGUAAUACGUAGGGGGCGAGCGUUGUCCGGAAUGAUUGGGCGUAAAGGGCGCGUAGGCGGCCUGUUAAGUCUGAAGUGAAAGUCCUGCUUUCAAGGUGGGAAGUGCUUUGGAUACUGGUGGGCUGGAGUGCA
This 530-nucleotide ribosomal RNA is filed under the name uncultured bacterium. RNAcentral describes it as "bacterial SSU rRNA". It matches the Rfam family "Bacterial small subunit ribosomal RNA", at positions 107 to 650 of the family's 1533-position model. The record is from RNAcentral.